GGAAUAUAAGAAUCCGUCUCUUAAUUUUUAAUUAGAAAAGCUAAGAACCGGUUUAAGAUAUUUAAGAACCGGUUCUUAGCUUUUUUAGUUAAAAGUUAAGAGACGGGCUCUUAUAUUCC
Brassica oleracea var. oleracea is the source of this 119-nucleotide microRNA precursor. It matches the Rfam family "MIR9563 microRNA precursor family". The record is from Rfam. NCBI's taxonomy places the organism in Eukaryota, Viridiplantae, Streptophyta, Magnoliopsida, Brassicales, Brassicaceae.